Tupaia belangeri chinensis (Chinese tree shrew) is the source of this 1235-nucleotide long non-coding RNA. RefSeq lists it as uncharacterized. The record is from RefSeq and is a predicted model, not a curated record. NCBI's taxonomy places the organism in Eukaryota, Metazoa, Chordata, Mammalia, Scandentia, Tupaiidae. The transcript has 2 exons.
CUUCCGCGUGGCCUACACACACCCAGAGCUCCUCACAGCACACUUCGCGGUUGUGGGGCUGAGCAAGCCAUCUGUUUCCUGCCAGGCCCCUGACCGGUGCAGCAGCUGUUUGUCAAAGGAAGAGGGCAUGCUCCAGGUUCGAGCUGGAAAGACUUCCAGGGCACGUUCUUGAGAAGAGGGGCCUGGAGGCAGGCGGCGGGCAGGCGGCCCAGUCUGCUUGUAUCUGCGUGAAGGAGAGCCAGAGCACUGCACCAGAGACUGAUGGCGGGGCGCCUGAGCGGAAGAGAGGAGGUUCUGUUCCCAAUGGGUAUGUCACUUGGACCAAUCCUCCCAUUAAUAAAAAGCAGAAAAAACUGAACCAAAACUUAAAAAUCUGAUAGAAUGCACCAGAAAGCUAAAAAGAUCGUAAGAAUUUCCAUGCCAGGAGGAUGGCCCAGGAGGCAACGCUGCUAUCUAGGACUCUGCAGUCAGCAGAACUCUAUCUAGGACAGCCCCGAGACCCGUCUCUGGCGUGUGCAUGUGUGCAUAUUUUCUCCUGGUUACUCAGACAUUAAUGUGGCGUUUCUGUGAAAUGACUUUGCAAAUGUAAUUAAUGUAAUCCCAAAUCAGUUGACCUUUGAAGAGGUGGGCCUGACCUUAUCAGGUGAGUUGAAAGGGACAGGUUCUUCCUGGCAAAGAAGACUCGGCUUGAGCGAAAGUCUGUUGCUGGCUUGAAGCUAGAAGAGGCCGUGCAGCCAGAAUCCAGGCAGCUUCCAGGAACUGAGAGUGGCCCCUGGCUGGCGGGGCCUCCAUCCUACGACCUCAGGGAGCUGCAUUCGGCAACAACCUGCAUGAGCCUGAGUGAACUCAGAAGACCCUGAGCUCAGAUGAAAUGCAGCUUGGCAGACCCAUUGAUUCCAGCCUUGUGCUACCUCAGCAAAGAGCCUGGCCCAGGGCGCCCGACUUUUUUUGCCUUCUUUUUCCACAAGAAUGAGGUGCUCCCCAGUAGGGCCUUCCCCCCAGGACUUUCCCCAGCCUCAGCCACACGUGUGUGCCCAGAGAGCUCAGGGAGGAACUGGGACACAAACCCAGGACCUUUCCCGGGUGGGUCCAGGUGCAUUUCCACGCCCUGCUACGUGGCCCCAUGAGUGCCAGAUUUCUGGCCUGCAUGUCUGUGAGCGGGUGGACAGGUGACGUUUUCAGCCGCUAGAGCUGUGGCAACUUAUCACACGACACAGAAAUACAUUUGCUGCUUC